AUUUCAGGACCGAAGUGGGGAGACCAAAACAGGCUACAUAACGUUACUUCUAAAGCAGCUCAAAUAGCCAGCAGAAACCGUGAGAAUGGAAGUGAACCAGGCACGCACGAACAGAUGGUGCGAGAGGAUGGAGAUGGUUGCAAAACAAAAUAUCCCCACUUGGGUGCGCCAUAGCAUUGCAAUCCUUGACCUGCCGCCCGAAACCUGUCCUUUGAUGCAGUCUGUGAAUCCUGUGGUCCACACAGGUGGGUCACAGAACACCCUGACCAUGCACAGGUGAAACAAGUUCUUUGGAGCAGAGAGGGAGAAAGGACAGUUUGAAAAGAGUUUUACAUCUGCAGUAUUCCAAACCCGGUGCCUGAGGACAGCGUGAGCCGUGCAAUAGAGCCGAAUAAUGGUCUCACUCCCCCCUAUCUCAGAUAUCAUCUACUGCAGCCCUCAUCCUGCACAUACAACACCCCUUUUGCCAGUCACAUUCUGUUAAAGGUCCCCAAAGCGCGCACAUCCCUGGGUCGCUCGUCUUUCCAGUAUGCUGCAGCUAGCCACUGGAACAAGCUGCAACAAACACUCGAACUGGACAGUUUUAUCUCCAUCUCUUCAUUCAAAGACUCAAUCAUGGACACUCUUACUGACACUUGUGGCUGCUUCUCGUGAUGUAUUGUCUCUACCUUCUUGCUCUUUGUGCUGUUGUCAGUGCCCAAUAAUGUUUGUACCAUGUUGUCAUGUUGUGUUGCUACCAUGCUGUGUUGUCAUGUGUUGCUGCCUUGCUAUGUUGUGUUAGGUCUCUCUUUUAUGUAGUGUUGUGUUCUCUCGUUGUGAUGUUUUGUCCUAUUUUUUUGUUGUUAAAAUGUAAAAUCCCAGCAGGAGGCCUUUCGGUAGGCCGUCAUUGUAUAUAAGAAUUUGUUCUUAACUGACUUGCUUAGUUAAAUAUAUGUAAAAAAAAAAAUAUUAUAAUAAUAAACUGACAAACAGUAUUGCUCUUUUUGUGAAAUUACCUUGUUACAUUAAAUUUAACAUUGCCUACCUCAUGCCUUUUGCACACAUUGUAUAUAGAUUCUCUUUUUUCUACCAUGUUAUUGACUUGUUUAUUGUUUACUCCAUGUGUAACUCUGUGUUGUUGUCUGUUCACACUGCUAUGCU
Molecule: long non-coding RNA, 1140 nt
Organism: Salvelinus fontinalis (brook trout)
Lineage: Eukaryota; Metazoa; Chordata; Actinopteri; Salmoniformes; Salmonidae
Exons: 5
Source: RefSeq, a predicted model, not a curated record